UACGGAGGGUGCAAGCGUUGUCCGGAUUUAUUGGGUUUCAAGGGUGCGUAGGCGGCUCUUUAAGUCAGUGGUGAAAUACUGCAGCUCAACUGUAGCAUUGCCAUUGAUACUGAAGAGCUUGAGUACAGAUGAGGUAGGCGGAAUUUAUGGUGUAGCGGUGAAAUGCAUAGAUACCAUAAAGAACACCGAUUGCGAAGGCAGCUUACUAAGCUGUAACUGACGCUGAGGCACGAAAGCGUGGGGAGCGAACAGG
Molecule: ribosomal RNA, 253 nt
Filed under: uncultured bacterium
Lineage: Bacteria
Description: partial 16S ribosomal RNA
Rfam family: Bacterial small subunit ribosomal RNA
Source: RNAcentral